AGUUUGACCUCAAAUCAGGUAGGAUUACCCGCUGAACUUAAGCAUAUCAAUAAGCGGAGGAAAAGAAACCAACAGGGAUUGCCUUAGUAGCGGCGAGUGAAGCGGCAAAAGCUCAAAUUUGAAAUCUGGCGUAUUCUACGUCCGAGUUGUAAUUUGAAGAA
RNAcentral lists this ribosomal RNA (161 nucleotides) under Hemisphaericaspora subhashii. RNAcentral's name for it is "[Candida] subhashii partial 28S ribosomal RNA". It matches the Rfam family "Eukaryotic large subunit ribosomal RNA", at positions 1 to 157 of the family's 3401-position model. Lineage: Eukaryota; Fungi; Ascomycota; Pichiomycetes; Serinales; Debaryomycetaceae. The record is from RNAcentral.